Molecule: long non-coding RNA, 446 nt
Organism: Sinocyclocheilus grahami
Lineage: Eukaryota; Metazoa; Chordata; Actinopteri; Cypriniformes; Cyprinidae
Exons: 3
Source: RefSeq, a predicted model, not a curated record
UUAAAAAUACAGCUUCAAGUUUUCAAGAUGAAGAAGAAAUUCGGAACAUCAAAUUCAAUUUUCUAAAAUUCAAAACGCAGAAAUUCAGAUCGUACAGAAAGUAGGUCAGAGGUCAUUCACAGGGAAGAGUAGAUGAUCUCCGAAAAGUGGAACAAAGCAUUUUGGCCAAUUAGAGCUGCAGUAGUUUUCUGGCGCGAGCGUGCGGCUCAGAAGGUCGCCAUUCUUCUGCCUGAUCAUGAAUCGCCCAGAGCCUCCAUAGGCAGCACACUGUUCAGCAGAGGGCCACCAUCCAAACUGAGAUGACCAGAUAAUUUCCUGGGUUUUUCAGCAAAGGACGGGGUAAAAGGCGAAUGCUGUCAGUGCCCCCUAGCAAACCCGCAAAAAUAUUGCCUGUUAACUUUUAUUUGCUUCCUCACCAAUAUGAGCGAACACCUAUGGAGAGUGAG